UAGGGAAUCUUCCGCAAUGCGGCGAAAGCCUGACGGAGCAACGCCGCGUGAGCGAUGAAGGUCUUCGGAUCGUAAAACUCUGUUAUUAGGGAAGAACAUAUGUGUAAGUAACUGUGCACAUCUUGACGGUACCUAAUCAGAAAGCCACGGCUAACUACGUGCCAGCAGCCGCGGUAAUACGUAGGUGGCAAGCGUUAUCCGGAAUUAUUGGGCGUAAAGCGCGCGUAGGCGGUUUCUUAAGUCUGAUGUGAAAGCCCACGGCUCAACCGUGGAGGGUCAUUGGAAACUGGAAAACUUGAGUGCAGAAGAGGAAAGUGGAAUCCCAUGUGUAGCGGUGAAAUGCGCAGAGAUAUGGAGGAACACCAGUGGCGAAGGCGACUUUCUGGUCUGUAACUGACGCUGAUGUGCGAAAGCGUGGGGAUCAAACAGGAUUAGAUACCCUGGUAGUCCACGCCGUAAACGAUGAGUGCUAAGUGUUAGGGGGUUUCCGCCCCUUAGUGCUGCAGCUAACGCAUUAAGCACUCCGCCUGGGGAGUACGACCCCAAGGUUG
RNAcentral lists this ribosomal RNA (551 nucleotides) under uncultured bacterium. Its description in RNAcentral is "bacterial SSU rRNA". It matches the Rfam family "Bacterial small subunit ribosomal RNA", at positions 355 to 896 of the family's 1533-position model. The record is from RNAcentral.